UGAGAACUGAAUUCCAUAGAUGGCUCGCUCAGGUAUCGUCUAUGGGCUCAGUUCUUUUG
Gadus morhua (Atlantic cod) is the source of this 59-nucleotide microRNA precursor. The record is from Ensembl. Lineage: Eukaryota; Metazoa; Chordata; Actinopteri; Gadiformes; Gadidae.